GCCCACGUGGUGGAAUUGGUAGACACGCUACCUUGAGGUGGUAGUGGCGAGAGUCGUGGGAGUUCGAGUCUCUCCGUGGGCACCA
This 85-nucleotide transfer RNA is filed under the name Sinimarinibacterium sp. NLF-5-8. RNAcentral's name for it is "tRNA-Leu". It matches the Rfam family "tRNA". From Rfam's summary of the family: Transfer RNA (tRNA) molecules are approximately 80 nucleotides in length. Their secondary structure includes four short double-helical elements and three loops (D, anti-codon, and T loops). Further hydrogen bonds mediate the characteristic L-shaped molecular structure. tRNAs have two regions of fundamental functional importance: the anti-codon, which is responsible for specific mRNA codon recognition, and the 3' end, to which the tRNAs corresponding amino acid is attached (by aminoacyl-tRNA synthetases). tRNAs cope with the degeneracy of the genetic code in two manners: having more than one tRNA (with a specific anti-codon) for a particular amino acid; and 'wobble' base-pairing, i.e. permitting non-standard base-pairing at the 3rd anti-codon position. Lineage: Bacteria; Pseudomonadati; Pseudomonadota; Gammaproteobacteria; Nevskiales; Nevskiaceae. The record is from RNAcentral.